RNAcentral lists this ribosomal RNA (252 nucleotides) under uncultured bacterium. Its description in RNAcentral is "partial 16S ribosomal RNA". It matches the Rfam family "Bacterial small subunit ribosomal RNA", at positions 524 to 776 of the family's 1533-position model. The record is from RNAcentral.
UACGAGGGUCCUAGCGUUGUUCGGAAUCACUGGGCGUAAAGCGUAUGUAGGCGGACUUUUAAGUCAGGUGUGAAAUCCCAUGGCUCAACCAUGGAAUUGCAUUUGAAACUGAAAGUCUUGAGUGUGGGAGAGAUUGGUAGAAUACCUGGGUGUAGUGGUGAAAUACGUAGAUAUCAGGAGAACACCUGUGGCGAAAGCGGCUCACUGGACCACAACUGACGCUGAGGCACGAAAGCUAGGGGAGCAAACAGG